AGACAGGUGCUGCAUGGCUGUCGUCAGCUCGUGUCGUGAGAUGUUGGGUUAAGUCCGGUAACGAGCGCAACCCUCGCUGUGUGUUAUAUGUGUCACACGGGGACUGCCCGGUAUCAAGCCGGAGGAGGUGGGAUGACGUCAAGGUCAGCAUGGCCUUUAUGUCUGGGGCUACGACACACGCUACAAUGGCCAGUGCAAUAGGUUGCAAAACCGCGAGGUGGAGCCAAUCCUUAAAGCUGGUCUCAGUUCGGAUUGCAGGCUGCAACUCGCCUGCAUGAAGUCGGAGUUGCUAGUAACCGCGCGUCGGCUAUAGUGCGGUGAAUACGUUCCCGGGCCUU
Molecule: ribosomal RNA, 338 nt
Filed under: uncultured Anaerolineaceae bacterium
Lineage: Bacteria; Bacillati; Chloroflexota; Anaerolineae; Anaerolineales; Anaerolineaceae
Description: bacterial SSU rRNA
Rfam family: Bacterial small subunit ribosomal RNA
Source: RNAcentral